RNAcentral lists this ribosomal RNA (551 nucleotides) under uncultured Glomeromycotina. RNAcentral's name for it is "SSU rRNA". It matches the Rfam family "Eukaryotic small subunit ribosomal RNA", at positions 548 to 1098 of the family's 1831-position model. Lineage: Eukaryota; Fungi; Glomeromycota. The record is from RNAcentral.
UUGGAGGGCAAGUCUGGUGCCAGCAGCCGCGGUAAUUCCAGCUCCAAUAGCGUAUAUUAAAGUUGUUGCAGUUAAAAAGCUCGUAGUUGAAUUUCGGAAUCCAUCCGUCGGUCGGGCCUCACGGUCCGCACUGGUGUGAUGGAUUCCUACCUUCUGAAUAACCAGCAUGUCAUUAAUUUGGUGCGUUGGGGAAGCAGGACUGUUACCUUGAAAAAAUUAGAGUGCUUAAAGCAGGCUAGUGCCUGAAUACAUUAGCAUGGAAUAAUGAAAUAGGACGGCAUGGUUCUAUUUUGUUGGUUUCUAGGAUCACCGUAAUGAUUAAUAGGGAUAGUUGGGGGCAUUAGUAUUCAAUUGUCAGAGGUGAAAUUCUUGGAUUUAUUGAAAACUAACUUCUGCGAAAGCAUUUGCCAAGGAUGUUUUCAUUAAUCAAGAACGAAAGUUAGGGGAUCGAAGACGAUCAGAUACCGUCGUAGUCUUAACCAUAAACUAUGCCGACUAGGGAUCGGACGAUGUUAAUUUUUUAAUGACUCGUUCGGCGCCUUACGGGAAAC